RNAcentral lists this ribosomal RNA (497 nucleotides) under uncultured bacterium. RNAcentral's name for it is "partial 16S ribosomal RNA". It matches the Rfam family "Bacterial small subunit ribosomal RNA", at positions 28 to 507 of the family's 1533-position model. The record is from RNAcentral.
GAUGAACGCUGGCGGCGUGCCUAAUACAUGCAAGUCGAGCGAACAGACGAGGAGCUUGCUCCUCUGACGUUAGCGGCGGACGGGUGAGUAACACGUGGAUAACCUACCUAUAAGACUGGGAUAACUUCGGGAAACCGGAGCUAAUACCGGAUAAUAUAUUGAACCGCAUGGUUCAAUAGUGAAAGACGGUUUUGCUGUCACUUAUAGAUGGAUCCGCGCCGCAUUAGCUAGUUGGUAAGGUAACGGCUUACCAAGGCAACGAUGCGUAGCCGACCUGAGAGGGUGAUCGGCCACACUGGAACUGAGACACGGUCCAGACUCCUACGGGAGGCAGCAGUAGGGAAUCUUCCGCAAUGGGCGAGAGCCUGACGGAGCAAAGCCGCGUGAGUGAUGAAGGUCUUCGGAUCGUAAAACUCUGUUAUUAGGGAAGAACAAAUGUGUAAGUAACUAUGCACGUCUUGACGGUACCUAAUCAGAAAGCCACGGCUAACUACGUG